Molecule: ribosomal RNA, 253 nt
Filed under: uncultured bacterium
Lineage: Bacteria
Description: partial 16S ribosomal RNA
Rfam family: Bacterial small subunit ribosomal RNA
Source: RNAcentral
UACAGAGGUCUCAAGCGUUGUUCGGAUUCAUUGGGCGUAAAGGGUGCGUAGGUGGCGCCGUAAGUCAGGUGUGAAAUUUCGGAGCUUAACUCCGAAACUGCAUUUGAUACUGCGGUGCUUGAGGACUGGAGAGGAGACUGGAGUUUACGGUGUAGCAGUGAAAUGCGUAGAGAUCGUAAGGAAGACCAGUGGCGAAGGCGGGUCUCUGGACAGUUCCUGACACUGAGGCACGAAGGCCAGGGGAGCAAACGGG